CGUGAUUGGGCUAUAUUACGGUGCGAAAUUAUAUGUUCGGACAUUGUUUUCGAAUAUUUAGCAUGUAUCAAGCUCUUCUAAACAGAAAGGGUAUUCCUACAUAGAUGGUGGGACCCACGGCAAAUGGAUCAUAAAGUCUUCAAAAAAGAAUACAUACGAUUGCAUUGCAUGUAGUAACGAAUGCGAUCAUACCAGCACUAAUGCACCAGAUCCCAUUUGAACUCCGCAGUUAAGCGUGCUUGGGUGAGAGUAGUACUAGGAUGGGUGACCUCCAGGAAAGUCCUCGUGUUGCAUCCCUCUUUUUUCCGGUUUUCUCUUUUUCUUUUGUCAAAAAUGUAUGACACUAGAACUUUUAGACCGUGAUGCCAAACACUUGGCAUGUGAUACCUUUUCGGAAAGCCCAAAGAGAGCUCUCCGACGAAAGAAGCAGACAAUGGAAUUUUUCCAUUGACUUUUUGUCGACUCCAAAUUUUGACCUUUAUCUACUUUUUCGGGA
Molecule: ribosomal RNA, 496 nt
Filed under: Arabidopsis thaliana (thale cress)
Lineage: Eukaryota; Viridiplantae; Streptophyta; Magnoliopsida; Brassicales; Brassicaceae
Source: RNAcentral